Molecule: ribosomal RNA, 460 nt
Filed under: uncultured bacterium
Lineage: Bacteria
Description: partial 16S ribosomal RNA
Rfam family: Bacterial small subunit ribosomal RNA
Source: RNAcentral
CCUACGGGAGGCAGCAGUGAGGAAUAUUGGUCAAUGGGCGGAAGCCUGAACCAGCCAAGUAGCGUGCAGGAUGACGGCCCUACGGGUUGUAAACUGCUUUUAUACGGGAAUAACGCGCCUUACGUGUAGGGCGUUGCAGGUACCGUAUGAAUAAGGACCGGCUAAUUCCGUGCCAGCAGCCGCGGUAAUAAGGAAGGUCCGGGCGUUAUCCGGAUUUAUUGGGUUUAAAGGGAGCGUAGGCCGCAUGUCAAGCGUGCUGUGAAAUGUCCGGGCUCAACCCGGGCCUUGCAGCGCGAACUGGCGUGCUUGAGUCCGCGGAAAGCAGGCGGAAUUCGUCUUGUAGCGGUGAAAUGCUUAGAUAUGACGAAGAACCCCGAUUGCGAAGGCAGCUUGCUGCAGCGGAACUGACGCUGAUGCUCGAAAGCGCGGGUAUCGAACAGGAUUAGAUACCCGUGUAGUC